RNAcentral lists this unclassified non-coding RNA (209 nucleotides) under soil metagenome. RNAcentral's name for it is "partial contains 5.8S ribosomal RNA, internal transcribed spacer 2, and large subunit ribosomal RNA". The record is from RNAcentral.
AACCUAGCACACCUGCGGUGUGUACCUGCGGAAGGAUCAUUACCGAGUUUACAACUCCCAAACCCCUGUGAACAUACCUAUACGUUGCCUCGGCGGAUCAGCCCGCGCCCUGUAAAAAGGGACGGCCCGCCCGAGGACCCUAAACUCUGUUUUUAGUGGAACUUCUGAGUAAAACAAACAAAUAAAUCAAAACUUUCAGCAACGGAUCU